RNAcentral lists this ribosomal RNA (466 nucleotides) under uncultured bacterium. Its description in RNAcentral is "partial 16S ribosomal RNA". It matches the Rfam family "Bacterial small subunit ribosomal RNA", at positions 28 to 507 of the family's 1533-position model. The record is from RNAcentral.
GACGAACGCUGGCGGCGUGCUUAACACAUGCAAGUCGAACGGUGAAGCAGAGCUUGCUCUGUUGUUCAGUGGCGAACGGGUGAGUAACACGUGAGUAGCCUGCCCUUGACUCUGGGAUAAGCGUUUGAAACGACGCCUAACACUUGACACGACGUCCGUAGGCACCUUUUGUUUGUGAGAAGAAUACGGGUAUAGGCUGGACUCGCGGCCUAUCAGCGUGUUGGUGAAGUAAUGGCUCGCCAAGGCCACGACGGGUAGCCGGCCCGGGAGGGUGAUCGGCCACACUGGGACUGAGACACGGAGCAGACGCCUACGGUACGCAGCAGUGGGGAAUAUUGCGCAGUGGGGGCAAGCCUGAUGCAGCAGCGCCGCGUGCGGGAUAAUGUCCUUCGGGUUGUAAACCACUUUUAGUAGGGAAGAAGAGGAAGUGACGGUACCUGAACAAAAAGCACCGGCUAACUACGUG